GUUUACGAAAUGUUUGCGUGCAGUUAAAGUCGCAUACGACAUAACUCAUAUAAGGAUGGGUAUAUUUCAAAUUAUAUCAAUGUAACAAAGGCCAGCAAAUAUGAAAUACACACAUUUUUUAAUGUUAGUUUUCAUUUGCCUAGCUUCAUGCUAUGGCCAAAAAUUAUCAUUUAAAAGUAUUAUUGAAGAUUCCCAAGAAAACUUUAAACCUCUAAAGCGGGUACCCAGACAAGAGAUGUCCCAAUUUCCUGAUAUACCUCAACCACCAGAAACAAAACCCCUUAGCGAUGUGAUGCUACAAAUGAAAGACUUGGUCAAAGCGCGUAAAAGAAGAGAAGCCAAAGGAGUCGGUGGUUCUUUACCAACACGUAAAGGUUAAUCUUCUUAAUCUUUUUGCUCUAAGCCUGACACCAAUAAAGACUAACAAUUUUUACAUAACAAGGUACUGGAAGUAAAAUAAAUAUGAACAUUUCAGCAGA
Long non-coding RNA from Vanessa atalanta (red admiral), 479 nucleotides. RefSeq lists it as uncharacterized. The record is from RefSeq and is a predicted model, not a curated record. The transcript has 2 exons. Lineage: Eukaryota; Metazoa; Arthropoda; Insecta; Lepidoptera; Nymphalidae.